UGGAUAAUUUAGGGCAUCAUGACUGCAGGAGAGUGAGGAAGCAGAAAGGACUAGAUGGAAACAGACUCAUGUGAUUUCAAGGGUAUGACUGUGAGUUGCAAGGACUCCUUGAACACCUGAGAUGAAGAAACAUGCCCGAUAGCACAAAGGAAUCCAUCAGAAGCUGAGAGCAAGUGGGAAGUGAUUAAAGAAACCGUGUUACAAAGUUGAACUGCUUCACCUGUGAAGAAUUCACGCUUAGAAAAAUAGCCAGAAUACUAAUUAUCACCAAUUUCUGAGGAAGAUUGUCUGCAAAAUAACCGAAGAGGACUUUGCCUUCAUUAACACAUUAUUUCCUCAAGUUUCCUGUAGUUCUGUAACACACGCAGGAAUGUUUUAAAGGGCAGGCCUGUUUUCUCAUCAUUAUGGGACUACAGCAAUAAAGGGCCUUGAUUUGGAAUCUGCAGAAUUAGUACCAUGGAAGUCUGGCAUAAUUGGAAGGAAAUGAAGAUCUGAGAACCAAGAGGAUCUAGGCUAGCAUUCUGCAUCCUUGAGACUUACUAGUUUUGGGUCUGUGGAUGUUUACCUUGCCUAAGCCACACUUUUCUCAUCUGUAAACAGAAGAACUAGAUCUCAGUGCUGUCUUUCCCCCACUCCCUCCAUGUCAGUGAUGGGAGCCUGCUGCUCAGUCCUCCCCUUAAGAGAAAAGCUACCAUGAGGCGGUCAGCCUCUAGCUUCUGCCCCUUUGGGAUCUGCUGUAGUUUUCAUGCCAAUGCCCUGCUCCCCCAGCUGCUCCCAGUGAUGACUGAGCACAGUGAGGAUACCAGAGCUGGAAUGUUUUUGCUCAAUACAGCCUCAUCUAAUGAGUGGUCUUUGCUGUAGGGUACUGUUUUGGCCUGAAUGAGACUUUCCCAGAGCGGCAAUGUGGUCUCUUUCUAACCAAUCUUUUUUCCUUCUCUCCCUCCUUUCACGGAUGUCACACCUGUAUUGUAGUGUGAAAGCUCUCCACACCUGCUAACUCCCUCUCCCCGUCAUCCUUCACAGACAUUUCUCUAGUACAUCUCCUGCUUGACUGAUUCCUUCAUAGUGUUUGCUUCCUAAAGGACCUGGACAGUCACACCCACAUAUGGAAAAGUGCAUACUUCACUAGUGUACAAAUCAAUGAACUUUCACAAGCUGAAUAUACCCAUGUAAGCAGCACACAGAUCAAGAGAAAAACAUUACCAGUGCCAGAGAAAUCCCCUUGUAUCCCCUGACAGACUCUACUUCCACCCAAGGGUAACCACCAUCCUGACUUUUAACAGCAUAAUCUUGAUACUAAAACCAAAGAAAGAUAUUACAAGAAAGGAAAACUAGAGGCCACUGCCUCUCAUGAAAAUAAGUGCAAAAUCCGAAACAAAUAUGAGCAAACUGAAUGCAGCAAUAUCUCCACUUAUAGCCAAUAACAUAUCUGGAAACUUGGCAUCUUUUGAAACUCGUCUUCCAUUGUAAGUAAAACUUGAAAACUUUGUCAUGAACUUCAAGCACUUUCUCACCAAGGAUCAUUUCUUCCGUUCCUGACUUUUCCAUGCCACUCAGCUGGAAAUUUGGUUACUAGGUAUCCAUGAUUUUUCUGAUAGCUUCUUGACUUGUCAGCUUGGCAAGGCUGAACAAGUUCACCCAGUUACUCAAUAAAACAUUCAUCUAGAUGUUGCUGUGAAAAAAUUUUGCAGAUGUGGUUAAAGUCCAUAAUUAGUUAUUUUAAAUUAGGGGGAUUAUCUCCAGUGGGCCUGACUUAAUCAGUUGGAAGAUCUUAAGAGGGCUUACGCUUUUCCUGGGGAGAGAGAAAGACUUCUGCCUGGGGACCACAUGCCUGUUGGGUUCCAGCCUGCCUGUGGACAUCCCUUCCUGAUGGCCUGCCCUAUAGACUUUAAGCUUACAUGGCCGGUUCCUACAAUUGUGUGAUCCAAUUGCUUGUGAUAACUUAAUCUCCAUCUCUCUCUUCCUUCCCAGCCCCCAACUCUCCCUCUCUGUCUCUCCCUCUUUCUGUCUCUCUCUGCCCUCCUUCUACACAAAUCCUACUGGUUCUGUUUCUCUGAUCGAGCCUGAACUGAUACACUGACUCUGUUGCUGUUGCCAAAUUAAUUAUUGUACUUGAAAUUUUCCCAAAGCCUUUGAGCAGAUACUUUUAUUUUAGGCAAAAUUAUACUCAGAGUUGCUGGUUUAACAAUGUGGAGUUGUGGAAAGCACCAGCCGUGGACGCUCCCAGCCAACCAAUUUACCAGCUGAAUGUAUGCUCGUGGGCAAGUCACCGAAAUCCCCUGGGUCUGUCUUUCCUGAUGGGCAGCACUGGCAUUGUGACUGAACUCUUCUCCAGAAGGUCCCUCCAGCCCGACAUUCCCUUGCUCAGAGCCUGUGAGAGGACAGGGGUGGGAAAAGAGAGGCAGGUUUGUGAUUUCAUCUGCUUAGUUCAAUGUAGUUCUUUUCUUCAAUGACCUCCUCCAUUCAUCACAUCAUUUUGGAUUUUGGCUUUUUGCUCAAGCGAAAAAAGAAAAAAGAACUCUUGAAAAGGUGAGCAUAGCAGGGACCAGCC
Long non-coding RNA from Equus caballus (horse), 2551 nucleotides. RefSeq lists it as uncharacterized. Lineage: Eukaryota; Metazoa; Chordata; Mammalia; Perissodactyla; Equidae. The record is from RefSeq and is a predicted model, not a curated record.